RNAcentral lists this unclassified non-coding RNA (388 nucleotides) under Hevea brasiliensis (rubber tree). The record is from RNAcentral. Lineage: Eukaryota; Viridiplantae; Streptophyta; Magnoliopsida; Malpighiales; Euphorbiaceae.
AAGGCUUAGUUGAGUUGAGUUACUUUUAACUUUCCACUCUCAAAUAACCAACACAGUUAUCUGUACCCUUUAUUUUUAAUUAAUUCAGGCUAUCUAAUUUAAUUAAUAAAUUAAAAUAAACUAAGAAAAAAUUAAUUAAAUUAACAUCAGCUCAAAACUAAUUAAAAUUAAAUUAUGGCACUAACAAUUGUCCACCACAUAUGGUUUAGCCGAUAGGCUAUUCCAAUGUGUUUAUCUUCAGUUUAAAAAAUUAAAGUGAUUUUAAUUAUCUAGAAUCCUUUUCAAAGUAAAACCCUUAUCUCUUGUCAAUUCACUUUCCUCCAGCUACACUCAAGUCCAAGUGAAAUUCUUCUGAAGCUCCAAAUGUGUAUAUAUAUAUAUAUAGAGA